UCGAACGAGUUCUCGUUGAUGAUCGGUGCUUGCACCGAGAUUCAACAUGGAACGAGUGGCGGACGGGUGAGUAACACGUGGGUAACCUGCCCUUAAGUGGGGGAUAACAUUUGGAAACAGAUGCUAAUACCGCAUAGAUCCAAGAACCGCAUGGUUCUUGGCUGAAAGAUGGCGUAAGCUAUCGCUUUUGGAUGGACCCGCGGCGUAUUAGCUAGUUGGUGAGGUAAUGGCUCACCAAGGCGAUGAUACGUAGCCGAACUGAGAGGUUGAUCGGCCACAUUGGGACUGAGACACGGCCCAAACUCCUACGGGAGGCAGCAGUAGGGAAUCUUCCACAAUGGACGCAAGUCUGAUGGAGCAACGCCGCGUGAGUGAAGAAGGCUUUCGGGUCGUAAAACUCUGUUGUUGGAGAAGAAUGGUCGGCAGAGUAACUGUUGCCGGCGUGACGGUAUCCAACCAGAAAGCCACGGCUAACUACGUGCCAGCAGCCGCGGUAAUACGUAGGUGGCAAGCGUUAUCCGGAUUUAUUGGGCGUAAAGCGAGCGCAGGCGGAAAAAUAAGUCUAAUGUGAAAGCCCUCGGCUUAACCGAGGAACUGCAUCGGAAACUGUUUUUCUUGAGUGCAGAAGAGGAGAGUGGAACUCCAUGUGUAGCGGUGGAAUGCGUAGAUAUAUGGAAGAACACCAGUGGCGAAGGCGGCUCUCUGGUCUGCAAUUGACGCUGAGGCUCGAAAGCAUGGGUAGCGAACAGGAUUAGAUACCCUGGUAGUCCAUGCCGUAAACGAUGAGUGCUAAGUGUUGGGAGGUUUCCGCCUCUCAG
This 818-nucleotide ribosomal RNA is filed under the name uncultured bacterium. RNAcentral describes it as "bacterial SSU rRNA". It matches the Rfam family "Bacterial small subunit ribosomal RNA", at positions 62 to 843 of the family's 1533-position model. The record is from RNAcentral.